AUGAACGCUAGCGGCAGGCCUAAUACAUGCAAGUCGAGGGGUAUUGGGAGCUUGCUUCCAAGAGACCGGCGCACGGGUGCGUAACGCGUAUGCAACCUACCUCUAUCUGGGGGAUAGCCCGGAGAAAUCCGGAUUAAUACCGCAUAAAGCCACAGUACAGCAUUGUACAAUGGCCAAACAUUUAUGGGAUGGAGAUGGGCAUGCGUGCCAUUAGCUAGUUGGCGGGGUAACGGCCCACCAAGGCGACGAUGGCUAGGGGAUCUGAGAGGAUGGCCCCCCACACUGGUACUGAGACACGGACCAGACUCCUACGGGAGGCAGCAGUAAGGAAUAUUGGUCAAUGGAGGCAACUCUGAACCAGCCAUGCCGCGUGCAGGAAGACGGCCCUCCGGGUUGUAAACUGCUUUUAUCCGGGAAUAAACCUAUCUACGUGUAGAUAGCUGAACGUACCGGAGGAAUAAGGAUCGGCUAACUCCGU
Molecule: ribosomal RNA, 478 nt
Filed under: uncultured bacterium
Lineage: Bacteria
Description: bacterial SSU rRNA
Rfam family: Bacterial small subunit ribosomal RNA
Source: RNAcentral